CAGUUCUGGAUCUUUGUUGCCUGCAUACAAGUUACAACUGGAGAUUGUAGAUGACCUAGAUAGAGCAUCAGGGGCCACAUUGAGUUUCCCUUUCCUGUACUCGAUGACAAAAUCAAAUUUUUGUAAUCGCAGGACCCAACAGAUGAGACGGCUGGUGGUUUUGGUGGAAUUCAUGACCCAUUGGAGUGCAGAAUGGUCUUUACGUUGUGCCAGGAUGGCUCCCAAACCAGUAUCACUGGCAUCCGUGUAUACAAUGAAGGGAAGCUGAAAGUCUGGAUGACCAAGGAUAGGAGGUGUGUGAGUUUAGGGGUUCGGCUAUUCUUGAGAAAUUUGGGACGAAACGAUGGUACCACCCCGCCAAUCCAAGAAACCUCUGAACAUCCUUCACAUUCUUAGGCACAGGGACUAUCUCCAUCAGUCUCUGGAACGUUGCUGGAGCAUUCUUAAGACCAAAUGGCAUAACGUUAAAUUCAUAGAUACCUGCAGAAGAGAUGAAAGCAGUUUUGGCCUUACUGUCAGGGUCCAUUGCCACCUGCCAGUAUCCACUGUUUAGGUGAAUGGUGGAGAAAAUUGCUGCUCCUGAGAGUGAUUCCAAGAUUUCUGUGAUAUUGG
This is a long non-coding RNA of Paramisgurnus dabryanus, 612 nucleotides long. RefSeq lists it as uncharacterized. The record is from RefSeq and is a predicted model, not a curated record. NCBI's taxonomy places the organism in Eukaryota, Metazoa, Chordata, Actinopteri, Cypriniformes, Cobitidae.